Molecule: ribosomal RNA, 315 nt
Filed under: uncultured bacterium
Lineage: Bacteria
Description: bacterial SSU rRNA
Rfam family: Bacterial small subunit ribosomal RNA
Source: RNAcentral
CGGAGCAAUCUGCCGCUUAUGGAUGGACCUGCGUCGCAUUAGCUAGUUGGAGUGGUAAAGGCACACCAAGGCGACGAUGCGUAGCCGACCUGAGAGGGUGAGUCGGCCACACUGGGACUGAGACACGGCCCAGAACUCCUACGGGUAGGCAGCAGUAGGGAAUCUUCCGCAAUGGACGAAAGUCUGACGGAGCAACGCCGCGUGAGUGAAGAAGGUUUUCGGAUCGUAAAGCUCUGUUGCCAGGGAAGAAGAGCAAGGAGAGGAACUGCUCCUUGAGUGACGGUACCUGAGAAGAAAGCCCCGGCUAACUACGUG